RNAcentral lists this ribosomal RNA (300 nucleotides) under uncultured Candidatus Kuenenia sp. Its description in RNAcentral is "bacterial SSU rRNA". It matches the Rfam family "Bacterial small subunit ribosomal RNA", at positions 496 to 795 of the family's 1533-position model. Lineage: Bacteria; Pseudomonadati; Planctomycetota; Candidatus Brocadiia; Candidatus Brocadiales; Candidatus Brocadiaceae. The record is from RNAcentral.
GGGAGCUGUGGGCCAGGAGCAGCGGUAUUACGUAGGGUGCGGGCGUUUUACGGAAGUAUUGGGCGUAAAGAGCUCGUAGGCGGUUUGGCGCGUCUGUCGUGAAAGUCCGGGGCUUAACCCCGGAUCUGCGGGGGGUACGGGCAGACUAGAGUGCAGUAGGGGAGACGGGAAUUCCUGGUGUAGCGGUGGAAUGCGCAGAUAUCAGGAGGAACACCGAUGGCGAAGGCAGGUCUCUGGGCUGUAACUGACGCUGAGGAGCGAAAGCAUGGGGAGCGAACAGGAUUAGAUACCCUAGUAGUC